CACACUGCGCAGUGGCGAUAUCGUACCCAAUGAGGAACAUCCGAGGUGGGAUCAUUGCUAAUUGAAAAAAUACGAUUGAUUACUAACCCAACGGCAGUUCUACGUCAACCUUGCGGUUAUAUCAUAGGAAUAAACCAUCCAUAGUUU
Small nuclear RNA from Toxorhynchites rutilus septentrionalis, 147 nucleotides. RefSeq annotates it as U4 spliceosomal RNA. The transcript has a single exon. The record is from RefSeq and is a predicted model, not a curated record. NCBI's taxonomy places the organism in Eukaryota, Metazoa, Arthropoda, Insecta, Diptera, Culicidae.